RNAcentral lists this long non-coding RNA (247 nucleotides) under Elaeis guineensis (African oil palm). RNAcentral's name for it is "long non-coding RNA (EGUI_LNC052102)". The record is from RNAcentral. Lineage: Eukaryota; Viridiplantae; Streptophyta; Magnoliopsida; Arecales; Arecaceae.
ACCACCUAGUACUGAGCCCACACCUCAUCUUCCCUUCCUCUCUCUAGCCCAUGCCCUCUCUCUAGGCAUCCUUCCUUGGAGCCAAAAGAGGGGAGGGCGGCAUCAUAGGAGGUGGUGUUAAUUAUUGAUGCCAUUUGCUUUUGGUUUGAUCUCUUCUAUCUCAUGUUUGUUGAGAGUUAGUUACAACUACUUCUUAGUUGUUAAUCUUCUUAGUUAGUUGAGAGAUCAAGAAAGGUUCUUGAUUUCU